GCGCCCUGGGCGGUCCAGGCUCCCCUCCACGUACCUUUUCUUCCCGUGCGGCCCCCGCUCCCUCGCCGGCCUGGCUGUCCCGGGGCUGCAGCUCCAGCACCGUGCGGAAGAGCUUCUCCGAGCGCCCAGCACACUCCUGGACUCCUGGAAGGUGCCCUAUUAACGGAGAGAUUCAAGAGAGGCUUGAAGAAGAGGGAAGUCUCCCCGAGUGAUUGCAAAGUGUGCAAACCAGGGUCCUGUCAUCCAUCCAGCUUCUUGUCAAAUUGUUGACUCCAGCCUCCUGGCCAAGAUUUUCUGGAUCAAACAACUUUUACAACUUACCUUCUUAAAUUUUAGGAAUUAAAAAAAUGUUUAAAGCUUGUA
Sus scrofa (pig) is the source of this 363-nucleotide non-coding RNA. The record is from RefSeq and is a predicted model, not a curated record. Lineage: Eukaryota; Metazoa; Chordata; Mammalia; Artiodactyla; Suidae.